RNAcentral lists this ribosomal RNA (228 nucleotides) under Bacillus subtilis. RNAcentral describes it as "partial 23S ribosomal RNA". It matches the Rfam family "Bacterial large subunit ribosomal RNA", at positions 1 to 225 of the family's 2925-position model. Lineage: Bacteria; Bacillati; Bacillota; Bacilli; Caryophanales; Bacillaceae. The record is from RNAcentral.
CGGUUAAGUUAGAAAGGGCGCACGGUGGAUGCCUUGGCACUAGGAGCCGAUGAAGGACGGGACGAACACCGAUAUGCUUCGGGGAGCUGUAAGCAAGCUUUGAUCCGGAGAUUUCCGAAUGGGGAAACCCACCACUCGUAAUGGAGUGGUAUCCAUAUCUGAAUUCAUAGGAUAUGAGAAGGCAGACCCGGGGAACUGAAACAUCUAAGUACCCGGAGGAAGAGAAAG